UCCAAGUGGACAUGACCAUUGG
RNAcentral lists this non-coding RNA (22 nucleotides) under Arabidopsis thaliana (thale cress). The record is from RNAcentral. Lineage: Eukaryota; Viridiplantae; Streptophyta; Magnoliopsida; Brassicales; Brassicaceae.